Molecule: ribosomal RNA, 488 nt
Filed under: uncultured bacterium
Lineage: Bacteria
Description: bacterial SSU rRNA
Rfam family: Bacterial small subunit ribosomal RNA
Source: RNAcentral
AAAGGAAUUGACGGGCACCCGCACAAGCGGUGGAGCAUGCUAUUUAAUUCGAAGAUACGCGAAGAACCUUACCUAGACUUGACAUCCCUGGCAAAGCUAUAGAAAUAUAGUGGAGGUUACCCAGGUGACAGGUGGUGCAUGGUUGUCGUCAGCUCGUGUCGUGAGAUGUUCGGUUAAGUCCGAUAACGAGCGCAACCCUUAUCAUUAAUUACUAACAUUCAGUUGAGGACUAUAAUGAUACUGCCGGUGAUAAACCGGAGGAAGGUGGGGAUGACGUCAAAUCAUCAUGCCCCUUACGUCUAGGGCUAUAGGCGUGCUACAAUGGCCAGUACAAUGAGACGCAAUACCGCGAGGUGGAGCAAAUCUUUAAAACUGGUCCCAGUUCGGAUUGGAGUCUGCAACUCGACUCCAUGAAGUUGGAAUCGCUAGUAAUCCUAGAUCAGAAUGCUAGGGUGAAUACGUUCCCGGGUGUUGCACACACCGCCCGU